GCAGCCACCUUUUGAAACGCGUCAAAGCGUAACUUUAACUCCCAAAAUACCAUUAAUUUUUAUGAACCCCUAAUUUAUAAUGAAUGACUCCAUAUUUAUAUGGAAGACACCAUGCUAGGAUUAGUAACAAGAAUUUAUAAUUCUCCAAAAUGCAAAUAUAAACCAACAUGGAUAGACCAUUGGUAGUUACCGAACCUAAAUUCAAUGCAAUAACAUCCACAAGAAAACUCUGCAGUACUCACUCGUUAACCUAACACCAGCGCAUUACAGGAAAGAUUUAAAAAAAGAGAAGGAAUUCGGCAAAUGACGGCCCCGCCUGUUUACCAAAAACAUCGCCUCUUGACUUAUAAUAAGAGGUCCAGCCUGCCCAGUGAAUUUUAAACGGCCGCGGUAUCCUAACCGCGCGAAGGUAGCAUAAUCACUUGUUCUUUAAAUGGGGACUUGUAUCAACGGCAUCACGAGGGUUUUACUGUCUCCUCUUUUUGAUCAGUGAAAUUGAUCUUCCCGUGAAGAAGCGGGAAUAUUUUUAUAAGACGAGAAGACCCCAUGGAGCUUUAAACCAAAUAACAACUUAACCACUUAUCCCAUAAUAAAUUUAAGCCCUGUUAUAAGGUUUUUGGUUGGGGUGACCGCGGAGUAAAGCACAUCCUCCACGACGGAAAGAACAGAAUCUUUAUUUAAGAACCACACUUCUAGAAAUUAGUAUACUAACGUUUACUGACCCGACAAUCGAUCAACGGACCAAGUUACCCUGGGGAUAACAGCGCAAUCUACUUCAAGAGCUCAUAUCGACAAGUAGGCUUACGACCUCGAUGUUGGAUCAGGGUAUCCCGGUGGUGCAGCCGCUACCGAAGGUUCGUUUGUUCAACGAUUAAAACCCUACGUGAUCU
This 890-nucleotide ribosomal RNA is filed under the name Polypedates leucomystax (Java whipping frog). Its description in RNAcentral is "partial 16S ribosomal RNA". It matches the Rfam family "Bacterial large subunit ribosomal RNA", at positions 1112 to 2606 of the family's 2925-position model. The record is from RNAcentral. Lineage: Eukaryota; Metazoa; Chordata; Amphibia; Anura; Rhacophoridae.